Molecule: non-coding RNA, 96 nt
Organism: Coniochaeta pulveracea
Lineage: Eukaryota; Fungi; Ascomycota; Sordariomycetes; Coniochaetales; Coniochaetaceae
Source: the annotation of a GenBank genome assembly
UCUCCCCUAGCUCAGCUGGUUAGAGCGUUCGACUGUUAAUAUCCGGCACUGGAAACGGCGAUCGAGAGGUCGACAGUUCAAUCCUGUCGGGGAGAG